UCUUGCGUACAUGAAAUGCUCCCAAGGACGGUUAUGUAAGCAUUGGUGCACCAAGCAUAUAUCCAACACUAGUGAAGGAUUCUGCAAGGAAAAUAUAAUGGAUUCAUCCUCUAGAAGCUCUAAUGACCAGGAAGUUGCUGGUGCUCUUGCUACUCUAGUGUGAUGGAAUCAAUAAACAACUUACUUUAAAAAAUGCCUUGUCUCUUUGAAAUGUUUCAUGUCCAUUGCUUGCUAAUU
Long non-coding RNA from Oncorhynchus kisutch (coho salmon), 237 nucleotides. RefSeq lists it as uncharacterized. The record is from RefSeq and is a predicted model, not a curated record. The transcript is spliced from 3 exons. Lineage: Eukaryota; Metazoa; Chordata; Actinopteri; Salmoniformes; Salmonidae.